AGCGAACGUUAGCGGCGCGCCUAACACAUGCAAGUCGCACGAGAAACGGAGCAAUCCGCGGUACAGUGGCGCACGGGUGAGUAACACGUGGAUGACCUUCCCUGGAGUGGUGGAUAACCUGCCGAAAGGCGGGCUAAUACAGCAUAGGACCACGACGCUUUGGCGAUGUGGUGAAAGCGGGCCUCUAUAUAUAAGCUCGCGCUCCGGGACGGGUCCGCGUCCCAUCAGCUAGUUGGUGAGGUAACGGCUCACCAAGGCGACGAUCCGUAGCGGGUCUGAGAGGACGACCGCCACACUGGAACUGAGACACGGUCCAGACUCCUACGGGAGGCAGCAGUGGGGAAUUUUGGACAAUGGGGGCAACCCUGAUCCAGCCAUUCCGCGUGAGUGAAGAAGGCCUUCGGUUGUAAGUACUCGUUUCUAGUCAGGAACGAAACGGUAGGUA
This 445-nucleotide ribosomal RNA is filed under the name uncultured bacterium. Its description in RNAcentral is "bacterial SSU rRNA". It matches the Rfam family "Bacterial small subunit ribosomal RNA", at positions 29 to 463 of the family's 1533-position model. The record is from RNAcentral.